UUGCGCGGCCCUGCCCCUGCCCCUUGGUAGGCCAAUAGACAGCGGGCAUGGGGGCGGAGCCUAAGGGAGGCGACCUGGGCGCUCUCGCGGUUCCUUGCUUACACUCGCUGUGUUGUGGUCACGUGGCUGGCCCUGGCUUUGGGCGCGGCGCUUGUUUUGACUUCUUCCUGGCUCCCUGAGCCCUGCGGCCAGGUGCCAGGGUGGGCCCUCCAGCAGUUCAAUCCCGAACUCCAGUUUCCCCGUUCUUUCGGACCUGGCUGGAGCCCCGCUGCUUCUCCACUACGGGAUCCCGCUCGGCAGGUGACUUAGAGCAUCGCUACAAAAAAUAUGGAAGAAUGCCCAGCCGAAGAAUUCUUGCCUGCUAUCACACGUGAUCCAAGAAGCAGUGGUUGCCAACUUCCUUGAUCCCAACAAAUGUUCCUAAGGGGUGAUGGGCCAAGAUGUUCUAGAAAAAGUGCCCAGGACUCUGCAGGUGUUGGUGCCACAAAGUCCUUCAGAUGCCUUUUUCCCUGUAUUUUCCUGGAAUCCUCCCUGACUACCUUGGUACUAGUGUUUACAAAGGGGCCAGGAAGACAACUGGGUACUAAUUUCUGAUCUCUUAACUUCUGUUAAAGGACUUAUAUUGGAGCUAGUGGGAUUUGUCCCUUCUCUUGCUCCUGGAUUUCAGUUCAUAGGUCAUUUAAGACACAUCUUCAAGGCAAGGACCAGAGGUAGUUUCUUUGGGGAUCCUUUGAAGGGUCUGAGUCUAGUCAGGUUGAGAAAAGCUGGGAGCCUCUGCAGUGAAGCAAGCUGUGCAACUGUCUAAUUUCUAUUUGCAAAAAUAAAUAAAUAAAUGAAUAAA
Monodelphis domestica (gray short-tailed opossum) is the source of this 841-nucleotide long non-coding RNA. RefSeq lists it as uncharacterized. The record is from RefSeq and is a predicted model, not a curated record. Lineage: Eukaryota; Metazoa; Chordata; Mammalia; Didelphimorphia; Didelphidae.